RNAcentral lists this ribosomal RNA (897 nucleotides) under Salmonella enterica subsp. enterica. Its description in RNAcentral is "partial 23S ribosomal RNA". It matches the Rfam family "Bacterial large subunit ribosomal RNA", at positions 446 to 1242 of the family's 2925-position model. Lineage: Bacteria; Pseudomonadati; Pseudomonadota; Gammaproteobacteria; Enterobacterales; Enterobacteriaceae. The record is from RNAcentral.
GGGGGGACCAUCCUCCAAGGCUAAAUACUCCUGACUGACCGAUAGUGAACCAGUACCGUGAGGGAAAGGCGAAAAGAACCCCGGCGAGGGGAGUGAAAAAGAACCUGAAACCGUGUACGUACAAGCAGUGGGAGCCCCACCACCAAAGCAUUCUCUGGUGUUGAAGGCCCUGCAAAGCAGCAUCGCGGUGGCGGAGCGUCGUUUGCGACGCCCAACACACAAAACAAGCGGUGAGUGCUUUGGGGUGGGGUGACUGCGUACCUUUUGUAUAAUGGGUCAGCGACUUAUAUUCUGUAGCAAGGUUAACCGAAUAGGGGAGCCGGAGGGAAACCGAGUCUUAAUUGGGCGUUAAGUUGCAGGGUAUAGACCCGAAACCCGGUGAUCUAGCCAUGGGCAGGUUGAAGGUUGGGUAACACUAACUGGAGGACCGAACCGACUAAUGUUGAAAAAUUAGCGGAUGACCUGUGGCUGGGGGUGAAAGGCCAAUCAAACCGGGAGAUAGCUGGUUCUCCCCGAAAGCUAUUUAGGUAGCGCCUCGUGAAUUCAUCUCCGGGGGUAGAGCACUGUUUCGGCUAGGGGGCCAUCCCGGCUUACCAACCCGAUGCAAACUGCGAAUACCGGAGAAUGUUAUCACGGGAGACACACGGCGGGUGCUAACGUCCGUCGUGAAGAGGGAAACAACCCAGACCGCCAGCUAAGGUCCCAAAGUCAUGGUUAAGUGGGAAACGAUGUGGGAAGGCCCAGACAGCCAGGAUGUUGGCUUAGAAGCAGCCAUCAUUUAAAGAAAGCGUAAUAGCUCACUGGUCGAGUCGGCCUGCGCGGAAGAUGUAACGGGGCUAAACCAUGCACCGAAGCUGCGGCAGCGACACUGUGUGUUGUUGGGUAGGGGAGCGUUCU